This 212-nucleotide unclassified non-coding RNA is filed under the name uncultured Bordetella sp. Its description in RNAcentral is "partial 16S-23S ribosomal RNA intergenic spacer". It matches the Rfam family "Bacterial small subunit ribosomal RNA", at positions 11 to 229 of the family's 1533-position model. Lineage: Bacteria; Pseudomonadati; Pseudomonadota; Betaproteobacteria; Burkholderiales; Alcaligenaceae. The record is from RNAcentral.
GUUCGAUCAUGGCUCAGAUUGAACGCUGGCAGGAUGCCUUUACACAUGCAAGUCGAACGGCAGCACAGACUUCGGUCUGGUGGCGAGUGGCGAACCGGGUGAGUAAUGUGCGGAACGUGCCCUGGCGGGGACGCUUCCGCGAAAGCGUAGCUAAUACCGCAUACGCCCUUCGAGGAAAGCGGGGACCUUCGGGCCUCGCACUAUUGAAGCGG